AUUGAACGCUGGCGGCAUGCCUUACACAUGCAAGUCGAACGGCAGCACGGGAGCAAUCCUGGUGGCGAGUGGCGAACGGGUGAGUAAUAUAUCGGAACGUGCCCAGUAGUGGGGGAUAGCCCGGCGAAAGCCGGAUUAAUACCGCAUACGACCUGAGGGUGAAAGCGGGGGAUCGCAAGACCUCGCGCUAUUGGAGCGGCCGAUAUCAGAUUAGGUAGUUGGUGGGGUAAAGGCCCACCAAGCCAACGAUCUGUAGCUGGUCUGAGAGGACGACCAGCCACACUGGAACUGAGACACGGUCCAGACUCCUACGGGAGGCAGCAGUGGGGAAUUUUGGACAAUGGGCGCAAGCCUGAUCCAGCAAUGCCGCGUGCAGGAAGAAGGCCUUCGGUUGUAAACUGCUUUGUACGGAACGAAAAAGUCCGGGUUAAUACCCUGGGCCCAUGACGGUACCGUAAGAAUAAGCACCGGCUAACUACGUG
This 482-nucleotide ribosomal RNA is filed under the name uncultured bacterium. RNAcentral's name for it is "bacterial SSU rRNA". It matches the Rfam family "Bacterial small subunit ribosomal RNA", at positions 30 to 507 of the family's 1533-position model. The record is from RNAcentral.